UUUUUGUUUCUAAUAAUGAACAUUAAUAUAAACAGUUUCAUAACAUGAACGGACACGGUCACCUUAAUACAUAAACUCAAAAAACAAAAAUCUCAUAAAAUUUUAAAUUACAAAUUUUACUAUCGUGUCACAUUAAAUUACCUAUCAAAAAAACUCAGAGUCCGUUAAUUGCUUAACUAAGUCCGAUUUUAACCACGUGUCCCUACCAAGAUCUAUUAUUAUUAAUAUCGAGUCGAGUAGGUAGCAGCGUGCGCGCUCAUAAUUGUAUUAAUCAUUCAGCGCGACCGGCAGACGUCGAUUUUCUUCAACAAAGUGCUCUUGUUUGUUUUUUUCGUAAGGAAGUCGGCCGAAGGUGAACCGUGGGAACGCCGGGCGGGUGCACUUCCCAAAACAUCGACGCACGGCAGCGAACCGACAUGCGCCGAACAGAAAGAAACACAGUCAUACUGUAACUUACAAGUCGAACGGAGACAGAAGACAUGACGUGUGCGCGCCAAGCGACAGCUCGCGAUCGCGUGAUCAUCUACAAGAAAUAAUAAAACGGCAAUAAAAGAAACACGAGACAACUGUAAGCGUGGCUAGUACGUGCGAGCGGGACGGCCUCGGUGGACGUGCGCCUGCGCGCGCGCAACUUACCGCAUUCGAAUUUCAAAGAUCAAUGAUCGAAGCGAUAAGCUGCAUGAGUAAAAGAGAAGCAAGUACAAAAUUCAAAAGAGGGAAAAAGAUAGAGAUCUCAAAGGACGAAAAGAAAAUUGACACUGUCAGACUGGAGUGUGUUACUAGAGCAAUAAGCUAGAACUGGCAAGUUAUUGGCAAGAAGAGGAUGACGUGAUGACACUUCGAAACUGAAACACCUUGGAAGCAACUAGAUUGUCUUAAUUAAAUCGUAUUGUUUGCUCCAACAAAACAUACACUCGACUAUCGUUUGAUUGAUUGGUGAAAAUAAAAAAGUUAUAAGUACUUAUAACAAAAGCACAAUGUCGAAAAAAAGGCUGAUGGUGAGACUUUACAAAAGAGUGAAGAUGAGGAUGGAGAGAUGAAGAGGGAAGAAAGAAGAGGAAGAGGUAUCCGUCCUCACCUCCAUCUCAGCAUGCCACUUGAUGCUCAAACCUGCACAUAUAGGCCCAUACCAGCAAUUUCAUCACUCCUGCCUCGAUAGGCAGGGAGUUACAUGCCCCCCCGGAGGCCCACUCCGCGCCCCCGCAAGGGGACGCAACGACCCCACGGAACUACCUUAACUACAUAGUUCAAAUGAAGCUAGUAUAAGCUCUUUAGGUAGCAGGCAGUAUGUAGGCAAAAAAAAUCCAAAUCACGAAAAUUUAAGCAACCCAAUCAGUGAAGCUGUUUUCAAAGUGUUGCUCCGUCAUACAAUUUAAUGGCAAUUGAUAUUAAGUUUUAGAUUUACAUAAAAUACAUUUCCACGACAUUCCUAUAAAAUUGUAUGGUUCGUUUCACCAAAUUAACACUAAUUAAAAGCAAUUCACUAAACUUUCUGUGCAUUUUAUGAACUCAAAAUCAAUAACGACUUAAAUGAUUUAAAGUAUUAUUAAUAUAAAAACUUGUCAAAUUAUCGAAUAAUAUGUGUCAAUAUUAUAAUAAUAAAUAGAUCUAAUAUUCAAUUACUAUUCACGAAUAUUUCGGUAAGUUGAAAUUAAAUAGUGUAGGGUCGUGCCACACUGAUUUGUACGCGUGACGAUAAUAAUAAACACGCAUGCAUAAUCUCGCAUUUUCCUAGUUAAAAGUCGUAACAGACAUACCUUGAUUCGUUAAAUGAUAUCUUAAAUGUAUGCAAUAAAGUUGAAUUUACACUGUCAGUCUAAUAAUUAACGACCGUUUUCUUUAAUCUUAUAGAUCGUUUACGUCAGGGCACUCGAAGUUACCCGAGCGUGCCCGAAGACAUCCGAACGCUUUCGUGGGAAAAUACGGCAGGUGUUGCCGAUCCGCAGCACUUCUUGCUGAGUAAACACUCGUAUACAAAAUUAUAAGCGACUCGAACCGUCUGUGCAAAUGGAAAACAUAUUUUGUGUGCUUAAUGAUACUGUUUACUUUUUUGGUGCGGCUCGGUUAUCGGGCCAAGGAGUUUUUUUUUUUUUUUUGCGGGAAACGGGUUCGAAUUUUAAAUACUGAGUCACGAUCUUGUGGCAUUAUUUGAUUUGCGAUUAAAUUGAAUGUCACGAAAACGUAUGAGCAUCUUUUUUAUAUAUUUUUUUGUGUGUGUAAAUUAUUAUAGUCGUUUUCUGAUAUGGAAUAUGAACGAUUGUCUACGUUUAAGGCUAUGUCAAGUUAAUUAAUCCCCCUAAAUUGUAAUACAUAUAAUGACUUGCUCUGAGCACCGAAUAUUGAAACAUAAGUUUGAAAAAAAUAUUCCUUGAACUUACAAAAUGGUGUUAAAUUGGCGUAAUUAAGGUUAAUAUUUUUUCCAAGUUUCAGAAUGAUCGCUAUGCCACUGUUAGUAAACAAAAUAUAUUUAUUAAUUGUGUUAUUUGGCAUGUUUAAAGAAAACAUCAAAUUAAAUAUAAUGCACAGCCGAUUAAAUAAGCGGAAAAUUUGCUAUUUUCGUAAAACACAUUUCAACGGACAUUUUAGGCGGGAACCUAAAUUGUGAUGUUAUGUUGUUAGUGUUGUAAUUUGUAAAUUUUUAUAUUAUUAUAUUCACGUUUAUUAUUCAAGCUUGGACAUAGCAUACUCAUAUUAAUUGCUGAUUUUAAACCACUAAAUAUUUGAAAAAUUCAACGAGUGAAGAGAAACAGAACACGAAUGCUGGACGUAGGUAGCUUCUCAGCACUUUUAAAAAAAAUCUAUUGUAGUUUCAAAAAAUUCCCGCCAAGUUAUUAUUACUUAAAUAUUAUUAGCAAAACUGAGAAAAACUAUAACGGCAGAUAACCAAUGGCCGUAAAUAAACAACAGCUUUUUUUUUAUUUAACAGGUACUGCACAAAGUUUUUUUUAUAUAAAUUAAACCAUCAUCUACAAUCCAAUGUGACUUGUAAUCGAUACAGCGAAAUUAUCGUCAAUAAUGGUAUUAUUACUUGAACACCCAAUUAUUUUGGUAUAAUCGAAAUUGAACCUUACUGCUUCGAACGUAAAUGCUGUCAGUGAUAUUUACGGACAUAGUACUGCAAUUACUUCCAUAAUUAUACGACCAAGACGCGACCUUCAACCGCCUUAUAACUGUUUGGAAAUUCAUAUGACAUUUCUCGAAAACUCAUACAGUUUAAUGGUUUUCGAAGAUAAAUUAACAAAAACCAACACAUUCUCUUCCCUUGAGAUUUUGAUAUUCCCAAAAAAAAAUUUAUCGCCAACCCGUGAACCGCAUAUUUUUAUUCAGAUGAAUGAAUUUUUUCAAUGAUAAGGAAGUGAAUAUACUGCAUUUGUGUGUGCCCAUAGUACACGGUACAAUUAAGAUACCGUUACAAUUCGCUUCUGGCUAGUUUGACAUUUAAAAAUUACUUGACAUUUUCCAAGAAGCGCUUUUUAUGUGUUUCUGGAUUAAAAACAAGAACAAGUAAAAGUAAGUACACAAUGCAAUAAGAAUGGAGUUUGUAUAAUCCUGUAAAAUAGUUACAACUAGUGAAAUCCUGUGGAUAAAUAUGUAGAAAAACAUAGAUUUAUUUCAACCAAUUUUUUUUUAAAGGGAUUUCAUGACCUUGUAACUGAGACCUUUAAAUCAUGUCUUAUUUUAAGUUAUAUUCAUUUUUUUAUGAAAAAUGCUAUUAUGGAGUGAAAUGAAAUGAAGAUGAUUAAUUUGAGACAUUAAUCAACUGGGAUGAAAUUAAAUGAAAUGAAAUGGGAUGAAAUAUAAUCUCAGUAAAAUGGUGGUCAUUUACUAAGAUUUUUUCAGUGGACUUUUUGGAGGGUCCCGAGAAGUUACGUGCAGCAGCUUUGUUUCAUUUUCCCACAUUUGUGCACUUUCACAGAUAUUAAACAGUUAAUAAACCACCAUUAUUACACAUUUAAACCCGAAGAAACACUAAAUAUACAAAAUAAAACAAAUCACACAUCACUCCUCGCGUUCCCGCCAAAAAGUCCUAUUUAUUUUAGUUUUCAAAUCACCCAUAGAGUAUCUCGCCCACAGCUCACAGCCCACAGAGUAUUUCGCCGGAUCUUCUUAAUGGGUCGCGAUUCCGAUCCGGUGGUAGACUCUGCGAAGCACUGCUCUUGCUAGGCCUAGUGUUAGCAAAUUCUCUCUGGUUGAGCCCGUGAGCUCAUCUACCCGUCCGGGCGUAGCUGGAAUAGACUCUUAGGAUACCAGUGAACAGGUAGGAAAUAAAAUCAAAUCAAAAUAUAUUUUAUGAAAGUUACCCUCUUUAAUAACAAGCAGUUAUUGAAGUAAUUUAUACAUUAUUUUUAAUUUCGUUGAUUCUUGAUCCGUGUGCUAAUUUCCAAGUUAAACUAACCUCAUUUCUAGUACAAAUAUAGACAAAAUGAACUAGUGAUAGCGUAUUAAGAUAACUAAAAUAAUUGUUACAGAUCAUAUCUUUUCUUUUCCAUGUACACAGUUCUAUGCCAGAUUUAAUCAUGAAUAAUGAGAGACUUAAAUGAAAAUUAAAAGCAACUUUUGAGAAUAUUUCAGAUAUUAUUUUUUACAUUUAAACAAAAAGAUCAAAACCUUAAAUUAUCCUGUAAGCCCAGGUGUCCAUAACUACAAACUAGUACAUACUUAAUGAUAGAUUAUUAUCGAGGUAAGAGUAUGGUUAUAUGACAAAUAAUUCUUAAAGAAAUUUGCUGCAUACGUAGGUACAUAUGUAAUAAGUGUAUUUAUUAUUUAAUGACUUAAAUUAACAAUGAUAAGUAUCGUUUCUACUUCUCAGAAUAUAAUUUAAAAAUAUAUAA
Bombyx mori (domestic silkworm) is the source of this 4832-nucleotide long non-coding RNA. RefSeq lists it as uncharacterized. The transcript has 3 exons. NCBI's taxonomy places the organism in Eukaryota, Metazoa, Arthropoda, Insecta, Lepidoptera, Bombycidae. The record is from RefSeq and is a predicted model, not a curated record.